This 348-nucleotide unclassified non-coding RNA is filed under the name soil metagenome. RNAcentral describes it as "partial contains 5.8S ribosomal RNA, internal transcribed spacer 2, and large subunit ribosomal RNA". The stretch from base 1 to 120 matches the Rfam family "5.8S ribosomal RNA", at positions 35 to 154 of the family's 154-position model. The record is from RNAcentral.
GAUGAAGAACGCAGCAAAAUGCGAUAAGUAAUGUGAAUUGCAGAAUUCAGUGAAUCAUCGAAUCUUUGAACGCACAUUGCGCCCGCUGGUAUUCCGGCGGGCAUGCCUGUUCGAGCGUCAUUUCAACCCUCAAGCCCCCGGGUUUGGUGUUGGGGAUCGGCUCUGCCCUUCUGGGCGGUGCCGCCCCCGAAAUACAUUGGCGGUCUCGCUGCAGCCUCCAUUGCGUAGUAGCUAACACCUCGCAACUGGAACGCGGCGCGGCCAUGCCGUAAAACCCCAACUUCUGAAUGUUGACCUCGGAUCAGGUAGGACUACCCGCUGAACUUAAGCAUAUCAAUAAGCGGAGGA